GUGUCUAGUGCACCGGCGGCUCGCCCGAAA
RNAcentral lists this small RNA (30 nucleotides) under Bombyx mori (domestic silkworm). RNAcentral describes it as "ovarian small RNA-17948". Lineage: Eukaryota; Metazoa; Arthropoda; Insecta; Lepidoptera; Bombycidae. The record is from RNAcentral.